RNAcentral lists this ribosomal RNA (587 nucleotides) under Neurospora tetrasperma. RNAcentral describes it as "eukaryotic LSU rRNA". The stretch from base 222 to 375 matches the Rfam family "5.8S ribosomal RNA". Lineage: Eukaryota; Fungi; Ascomycota; Sordariomycetes; Sordariales; Sordariaceae. The record is from RNAcentral.
UCCGUAGGUGAACCUGCGGAGGGAUCAUUACAGAGUUGCAAAACUCCCACAAACCAUCGCGAAUCUUACCCGUACGGUUGCCUCGGCGCUGGCGGUCCGGAAAGGCCCUCGGGUCCUCCCGGAUCCUCGGGUCUCCCGCUCGCGGGAGGCUGCCCGCCGGAGUGCCGAAACUAAACUCUUGAUAUUUUAUGUCUCUCUGAGUAAACUUUUAAAUAAGUCAAAACUUUCAACAACGGAUCUCUUGGUUCUGGCAUCGAUGAAGAACGCAGCGAAAUGCGAUAAGUAAUGUGAAUUGCAGAAUUCAGUGAAUCAUCGAAUCUUUGAACGCACAUUGCGCUCGCCAGUAUUCUGGCGAGCAUGCCUGUUCGAGCGUCAUUUCAACCAUCAAGCUCUGCUUGCGUUGGGGAUCCGCGGCUGCCCGCGGUCCCUCAAAAUCAGUGGCGGGCUCGCUAGUCACACCGAGCGUAGUAACUCUACAUCGCUAUGGUCGUGCGGCGGGUUCUUGCCGUAAAACCCCCCAUUUCUAAGGUUGACCUCGGAUCAGGUAGGAAUACCCGCUGAACUUAAGCAUAUCAAUAAGCGGAGGA